GAUUAACGCUAGCGGCAGGCCUAAUACAUGCAAGUUGUACGGGAUUAUUGGUAGCAAUACUGAUAUGAGAGUAGCGCACGGGUGCGUAACACGUAUGCAACCUACCUUUAACUGGGGAAUAGCCUUCCGAAAGGAAGAUUAAUACCGCAUAACAUUGCGAAACGACAUCGUUUUGCAAUUAAACCUACGGGGGUUAGAGAUGGGCAUGCGUCCGAUUAGCUAGUUGGCGGGGAAUAGCCCACCAAGGCAACGAUCGGUAGGGGGUCUGAGAGGAUGAUCCCCCACACUGGUACUGAGACACGGACCAGACUCCUACGGGA
This 320-nucleotide ribosomal RNA is filed under the name uncultured bacterium. Its description in RNAcentral is "bacterial SSU rRNA". It matches the Rfam family "Bacterial small subunit ribosomal RNA", at positions 28 to 346 of the family's 1533-position model. The record is from RNAcentral.